GACGAACGCUGGCGGCGUGCUUAACACAUGCAAGUCGAACGGAAAGGCCCUGCUUUUGUGGGGUGCUCGAGUGGCGAACGGGUGAGUAACACGUGAGUAACCUGCCCUUGACUUUGGGAUAACUUCAGGAAACUGGGGCUAAUACCGGAUAGGAGCUCCUGCUGCAUGGUGGGGGUUGGAAAGUUUCGGCGGUUGGGGAUGGACUCGCGGCUUAUCAGCUUGUUGGUGGGGUAGUGGCUUACCAAGGCUUUGACGGGUAGCCGGCCUGAGAGGGUGACCGGCCACAUUGGGCCUGCGAUACGGCCCAGACUCCUACGGUGGGCAGCAGUGGGGAAUAUUGCACAAUGGGCGGAAGCCUGAUGCAGCAACGCCGCGUGCGGGAUGACGGCCUUCGGGUUGUAAACCGCUUUCGCCUGUGACGAAGCGUGAGUGACGGUAAUGGGUAAAGAAGCACCGGCUAACUACGUG
RNAcentral lists this ribosomal RNA (468 nucleotides) under uncultured bacterium. RNAcentral describes it as "partial 16S ribosomal RNA". It matches the Rfam family "Bacterial small subunit ribosomal RNA", at positions 28 to 507 of the family's 1533-position model. The record is from RNAcentral.